RNAcentral lists this ribosomal RNA (484 nucleotides) under uncultured bacterium. RNAcentral describes it as "partial 16S ribosomal RNA". It matches the Rfam family "Bacterial small subunit ribosomal RNA", at positions 30 to 507 of the family's 1533-position model. The record is from RNAcentral.
AUUGAACGCUGGCGGCAUGCUUUACACAUGCAGGUCGAACGGCAGCACGGGCUUCGGCCUGGUGGCGAGUGGCGAACGGGUGAGUAAUAUAUCGGAACGUACCCAGAAGUGGGGGAUAACGUAGCGAAAGUUACGCUAAUACCGCAUACGAUCUAUGGAUGAAAGCAGGGGACCGCAAGGCCUUGUGCUCCUGGAGCGGCCGAUAUCUGAUUAGCUAGUUGGUGAGGUAAAGGCUCACCAAGGCGACGAUCAGUAGCUGGUCUGAGAGGACGACCAGCCACACUGGAACUGAGACACGGUCCAGACUCCUACGGGAGGCAGCAGUGGGGAAUUUUGGACAAUGGGCGCAAGCCUGAUCCAGCAAUGCCGCGUGAGUGAAGAAGGCCUUCGGGUUGUAAAGCUCUUUUGUCAGGGAAGAAACGGUAGAGGCUAAUAUCCUUUGCUAAUGACGGUACCUGAAGAAUAAGCACCGGCUAACUACGUG